GUGAGGAAUAUUGGUCAAUGGGCGCGAGCCUGAACCAGCCAAGUCGCGUGAGGGAAGAAUGGUCCAUGGCCUGUAAACCUCUUUUGUCAAGGAAGAAUAGACGGCACGCGUGCUGUUUUGCCAGUACUUGACGAAUAAGCAUCGGCUAACUCCGUGCCAGCAGCCGCGGUAAUACGGGGGAUGCGAGCGUUAUCCGGAUUUAUUGGGUUUAAAGGGCGCGUAGGCGGGACGCCAAGUCAGCGGUAAAAGACUGCAGCUAAACUGUAGCACGCCGUUGAAACUGGCGACCUUGAGACGAGACGAGGGAGGCGGAACAAGUGAAGUAGCGGUGAAAUGCUUAGAUAUCACUUGGAACCCCGAUAGCGAAGGCAGCUUCCCAGGCUCGAUCUGACGCUGAUGCGCGAGAGCGUGGGUAGCGAACAGGAUUAGAAACCCUUGUAGUCC
Molecule: ribosomal RNA, 444 nt
Filed under: uncultured bacterium
Lineage: Bacteria
Description: bacterial SSU rRNA
Rfam family: Bacterial small subunit ribosomal RNA
Source: RNAcentral